Molecule: unclassified non-coding RNA, 260 nt
Filed under: Hevea brasiliensis (rubber tree)
Lineage: Eukaryota; Viridiplantae; Streptophyta; Magnoliopsida; Malpighiales; Euphorbiaceae
Source: RNAcentral
AAUUCCAGAAUAAAGAAACUACUCUCUCAUGGUGAGUUUAGCAAACAUAAUAAAAAUGAAAUUAAAAAACAUAAGAGCAGCCUAAAGAAAUAGAACAAAGGAACUGAGGAGAAUUUAUAGAUUUGAACUUGUGGAACUUCGGCUGAGGACUCCUCCUUGAUGCUGAUGCGCUAUUUUUCAAGACGGCUUGGACAGAAUGAUAAAGAUGUAUGUGAAAAUGCUAAUGUCGUGAUCCUUUUCUCUGUUUUUUGCUGCUUCUA